This 1385-nucleotide ribosomal RNA is filed under the name uncultured soil bacterium. Its description in RNAcentral is "16S ribosomal RNA". It matches the Rfam family "Bacterial small subunit ribosomal RNA". The record is from RNAcentral.
GGUGAACGCUGGCGGCGUGCCUAAUACAUGCAAGUCGAACGAGACCUUCGGGUCUAGUGGCGAACGGGUGAGUAAUACGUAGGAACCUGCCCUGAAGUGGGGCAUAACUCCGGGAAACCGGAGCUAAUUCCCCAUAGUCUACCUCGGUAGUAAAGGAUUUCCGCUUCAGGAAGGGCCUCCGCCCGAUUAGCUAGUUGGUGAGGUAAUGGCUCACCAAGGCUAUGAUCGGUAGCUGGUCUGAGAGGAUGAUCAGCCACACUGGGACUGAGAUACGGCCCAGACUCCUACGGGAGGCAGCAGUAGGGAAUCUUCCACAAUGGGCGAAAGCCUGAUGGAGCAACGCCGCGUGCAGGAUGAAGGCUUUCGGGUCGUAAACUGCUUUUCUGAAGGAAGAUUAUGACGGUACUUCAGGAAUAAGGGUUGGCUAACUCCGUGCCAGCAGCCGCGGUAAUACGGAGAACUCAAGCGUUACCCGGAAUAACUGGGCGUAAAGCGUUGCGUAGGCGGUUUGUUAAGUGAGGUGUGAAAUCUUGUGGCUCAACCAUUAAGACUAUGCUUCAAACUGGCAAACUAGAGGUUGGUAGAGGUGAGUGGAAUUCCUGGUGUAGGAGUGAAAUCCGUAGAUAUCAGGAGGAACACCAAUGGCGAAGGCAGCUCACUGGACCAUACCUGACGCUCAGGCACGAAAGCGUAGGGAGCGAACCGGAUUAGAUACCCGGGUAGUCUACGCCGUAAACGAUGGAUGCUAGCUGUUGGGAGUAUCGACCCUCUCGGUAGCGAAGCUAACGCGUUAAGCAUCCCGCCUGGGGAGUACGGCCGCAAGGCUAAAACUCAAAGGAAUUGACGGGGACCCGCACAAGCGGUGGAGCGUGUGGUUUAAUUCGAGGCUACGCGAAGAACCUUACCCAGGCUUGACAUCCUAGGAAUUUCUUAGAAAUAAGAAAGUGCCUUCGGGAGCCUAGUGACAGGUGAUGCAUGGUCGUCGUCAGCUCGUGUCGUGAGAUGUUAGGUUAAGUCCUUGAACGAGCGCAACCCUCGUUGUUAGUUGAAUUUUUCUAACAAGACUGCCUCGGUAACGGGGAGGAAGGGGGGGAUGAUGUCAGAUCAGCAUGUCCCUUACGUCUGGGGCUACACACACGCUACAAUGGCCGGUACAAUGAGUUGCCAAAUCGCAAGAUGGAGCUAACCUCAUCAAAACCGGUCCAAGUUCGGAUUGCAGGCUGAAACUCGCCUGCAUGAAGCUGGAAUCGCUAGUAACCGUAGGUCAGCACACUACGGUGAAUACGUUCCCGGGUCUUGUACACACCGCCCGUCACAUCACGAAAGUGACCAACGUCCGAAGUCCUGCCUUAGGUCAGGCCUAAGAUGGGGGUCAUGAUUGGGGU